GCAUGAAACAGACGACCAUUUCACUCAUUUCUUUGCCCUGAAGAAUAUAUCAUUUUGUGGAUUUCACCCUCGAAACGAAAGGUAUUUUGGGUUCAUCACAAAACAUCCAUCGUCUUAUCGAUUCGCAUGUCAUGUAUUUCUGGGCGAGAAAUCGACGAGAUCUGUCUCGGAUGCUCUCGGGGAUGCAUUUAAGAGAUUCUAUCAGGAGUAUAUGGCAUUUACCCACCCUACUGAAGACAUUUAUAUGGAAUAAUGAAGUUAUAAUCAAAUCAUGUGAUGAACUGGCGUAGGCGGGGCUUAAUCUUCAUGUCACGUGAUGAACCAGGCGUGGCCCAAUCUUCAUGUCGCGUGAUGAAUUGGAGCAGACGGGGCUCAAUCUUCAUAUCACGUGAUGAACCGGAGUGACUCAAUCUUUAUGUCACGUGAUGAACUGGAGUAGGCGGGGCUCAUUCUUCAUAUCACGUGAUAAAUCAUUGAUCAUUAUAAUUCACGUGAUAAAAACCAGAUAGCAUAAUCAUAAAUCAGCAACAUUACCAUAACGAGUAUAACAUCGCCUAUACUGAUAUUAAAAAUGGCUCCGGGAAUUUUUUUUGCUCUAAUCCAAGAAAUACCAAUCCAGUACAGACAUACCAAUGAACAGCAUAUCGGUCAUUUUAAUGUAGGUUUAAAAUUUUGCCGAAAAGAAUCUUCAGAAAUCUGAUUGAGGACGUCUCCAUGUAGUUCUGAUACAAUACAUCUACAUUUGAAAUUCCUAUAGCCAAGAACCAAGUGCUCUAACAGUGAGGGAUAAAAACAAUGGUAAAUAUAGAAGCUGGCUGUCUUCUGACAAAGAGAACUCCACCCUGACGUGCAGUUAAAGGAGCAGUCUACAAAUCCAGUUACAUAACCUGGAGUGUCAAUCCAGAUCAAUUCAUGUCGCGAUAUACAGUUUAUGUCUGAUGAUAAGUUAUAUGUCAAGUGUAUAAAUACAACCAAUCAACAUGGAAGUAAAACAUUAUAAGUGUUCAAUUAAAAACAACCGGUAAAGUCUCAGUAUUACAUAAUUAUAUCACUUACAGAAGUGAAUUAUUUUCAUUAAACUAUCAAACCAUAUUUUUGUAAUGUGUCAUAAAACUGACAUGAAUAAACGAUAGUUGGAAACGUGUGAUAAUUUGCAAAAAGGACAAGGUCUGUUUUGCAUAAAUUAUCCCACGUUUCCAACUAUUGUUGAUGUCCUUGGCAUGCCCAACAAACUAAACAGUGAUUCCUUUCAUUUUUCACUUCAU
Molecule: long non-coding RNA, 1265 nt
Organism: Saccostrea cuccullata (small rock oyster)
Lineage: Eukaryota; Metazoa; Mollusca; Bivalvia; Ostreida; Ostreidae
Exons: 3
Source: RefSeq, a predicted model, not a curated record